RNAcentral lists this ribosomal RNA (412 nucleotides) under uncultured bacterium. Its description in RNAcentral is "bacterial SSU rRNA". It matches the Rfam family "Bacterial small subunit ribosomal RNA", at positions 917 to 1333 of the family's 1533-position model. The record is from RNAcentral.
GGGCCCGCACAAGCGGUGGAGCAUGUGGUUUAAUUCGAUGAUACGCGAGGAACCUUACCAGGGUUUAAAUGCAGAACGACAGGGGUGGAAACACCCCCUUCUUCGGACGGACUGCAAGGUGCUGCAUGGUUGUCGUCAGCUCGUGCUGUGAAGUGUCGGGUUAAGUCCCAUAACGAGCGCAACCCCCAUUUCUAGUUGCCAGCGGUUCGGCCGGGGACUCUAGAGAAACUGCCAGCGUAAGCUGUGAGGAAGGUGGGGAUGACGUCAAAUCAUCACGGCCCUUACGUCCUGGGCUACACACGUGCUACAAUGGUAGGGACAGAGAGUUGCCAACCCGCGAGGGUGAGCUAAUCUUCAAACCCUAUCUCAGUUCGGAUCGGAGUCUGCAACUCGACUCCGUGAAGUUGGAAUC